Molecule: ribosomal RNA, 410 nt
Filed under: Lichenothelia calcarea
Lineage: Eukaryota; Fungi; Ascomycota; Dothideomycetes; Lichenotheliales; Lichenotheliaceae
Description: eukaryotic LSU rRNA
Rfam family: Eukaryotic large subunit ribosomal RNA
Source: RNAcentral
CUAGUAGCUGGUUCCUGCCGAAGUUUCCCUCAGGAUAGCAGUAACGUCUUCAGUUUUAUGAGGUAGAGCGAAUGAUUAGAGGCCUUGGGGUUGAAACAACCUUAACCUAUUCUCAAACUUUGAAUAUGUAAGAAGUCCUUGUUGCUUAGUUGAACGUGGACAUUUGAAUGCAUCGUUACUAGUGGGCCAUUUUUGGUAAGCAGAACUGGCGAUGCGGGAUGAACCGAACGCGAGGUUAAGGUGCCGGAAUGCACGCUCAUCAGACACCACAAAAGGUGUUAGUUCAUCUAGACAGCAGGACGGUGGCCAUGGAAGUCGGAAUCCGCUAAGGAGUGUGUAACAACUCACCUGCCGAAUGAACUAGCCCUGAAAAUGGAUGGCGCUCAAGCGUGCUACCCAUACCUCGCCGC